RNAcentral lists this ribosomal RNA (402 nucleotides) under bacterium. RNAcentral's name for it is "partial 16S ribosomal RNA". It matches the Rfam family "Bacterial small subunit ribosomal RNA", at positions 355 to 776 of the family's 1533-position model. The record is from RNAcentral.
UGGGGAAUUUUGCACAAUGGGGGAAACCCUGAUGCAGCGACGCCGCGUGAUUUAGAAGGCCUUCGGGUUGUAAAAAUCUUUUCUAUGGGAAGAAAAUGACAGUAUCAUAGGAAUAAGGACCGGCUAAUUACGUGCCAGCAGCCGCGGUAAUACGUAAGGUCCGAGCGUUGUCCGGAAUCAUUGGGCGUAAAGGGUACGUAGGCGGGUAAGCAAGUUAGAAGUGAAAUCCUAUAGCUCAACUAUAGUAAGCUUUUAAAACUGCUCAUCUUGAGGUAUGGAAGGGAAAGUGGAAUUCCUAGUGUAGCGGUGAAAUGCGCAGAUAUUAGGAGGAAUACCGGUGGCGAAGGCGACUUUCUGGCCAUAACCUGACGCUGAGGUACGAAAGCGUGGGUAGCAAACAGG